RNAcentral lists this ribosomal RNA (99 nucleotides) under Cyprinus carpio (common carp). Lineage: Eukaryota; Metazoa; Chordata; Actinopteri; Cypriniformes; Cyprinidae. The record is from RNAcentral.
GCUAUGCCCGAUCUCGUCUGAUCUCGGAAGCUAAGCAGGGUCGGGCCUGGUUAGUACUUGGAUGGGAGACCUCCUGGGAAUACCAGGUGCUGUAAGCUU